This 253-nucleotide ribosomal RNA is filed under the name uncultured bacterium. RNAcentral describes it as "partial 16S ribosomal RNA". It matches the Rfam family "Bacterial small subunit ribosomal RNA", at positions 524 to 776 of the family's 1533-position model. The record is from RNAcentral.
UACGUAGGGUGCAAGCGUUGUCCGGAAUUAUUGGGCGUAAAGAGCGUGUAGGCGGCCCGAUUAGUCCGCUGUGAAAGUCCAGGGCUCAACCCUGGAAAGCCGGUGGAUACUGUCGGACUAGAGUGCGGAAGAGGCGAGUGGAAUUCCCGGUGUAGCGGUGAAAUGCGCAGAUAUCGGGAGGAACACCAAUUGCGAAGGCAGCUCGCUGGGACGUUACUGACGCUGAGACGCGAAAGCGUGGGGAGCAAACAGG